RNAcentral lists this long non-coding RNA (530 nucleotides) under Chelonoidis abingdonii (Abingdon island giant tortoise). RNAcentral's name for it is "lncRNA (ENSCABG00000015667.1)". The record is from RNAcentral. Lineage: Eukaryota; Metazoa; Chordata; Testudines; Testudinidae.
GAAACAACGCAGGACUGCAGCGAGGCUUAUUACUUGUUUCCCACGUAUCUCAACCAGAGCGAGGAGGUUUCUGAGAGGUGGGGAGGAGAUCAUCCGGAGGAUCUCCAUAUCCGGGCUUACUUCUCACCUGAGAUCCCAGAGGGCUUCUUCCAAAGGCUCAUGGUGAAAGCUUGCUCCUUCUACUCGGCCCACUGGGUUGCAAAGGUCACGUGCCUGCUCAUAUGCAGUGGCAAACCCUUGCUGAUCAAGGAGAACAACCAGAAGGGCUAUAGUUAUAUUGAACUCCGGAGCAGAAAGCCAGUGCAAAGAAAAGAAUUCCAGUUCACAUGGGAUUUUGUCAUGGCUAUCAUCUUCAUCAUCCGGAGGCUCUCAGAGGAGUGGCCUGGUCUGCACAUGUGCAUGAAGGCGCCUUGUCGAACGACAGGAUGUCCUGCAGAAUUUUUCUGGCCAGAUGUGGACGGCAAGAACACAGUGUAUGUAUGUCCUCUAACCUGUUUUGCCUACAGGAAACACCGGCGGUGGGGUGUGAG